AUGAGAAGACAGAAAAACACACAGCAGAUAAAAGAGCAAGAUAAAAAUACACCAGACCUAACAAAUGAAGAGGAAAUAGGCAGUCUACCUGAAAAAGAAUUCAGAAUAAUGAUAGUAAGGAUGAUCUGAAAUCUUGGAAACAGAAUGGACAAAAUGCAAGAAACAGUUAACAAGGACCUAGAAGAAAUAAAGAUGAAACAAGCAAUGAUGAACAACACAAUAAAUGAAAUUAAAAGUACUCUAGAUGGGAUCAAUAGCAGAAUAACUGAGGCAGAAGAACGGAUAAGUGACCUGGAAGAUAAAAUAGUGGAAAUAACUACUGCAGAGCAGAAUAAAGAAAAAAAGAAUGAAAAGAA
Molecule: long non-coding RNA, 356 nt
Organism: Orcinus orca (killer whale)
Lineage: Eukaryota; Metazoa; Chordata; Mammalia; Artiodactyla; Delphinidae
Exons: 2
Source: RefSeq, a predicted model, not a curated record